AAAAACAGAGCAUAUUUUGAAAGGUGUGCAUGGAUCAUGGUGGUGAUGAAGCUAACAAACCUUGUAAACAAAUAUUUACACAAUUACUGGAACAUUACCUCAUUAAGUAUUCUCCAGCAGUGAAGUUGGAGCCUUGUGACCUGUGCCCGACAGACUGUACUGUGAGCAGAAGCAGUGUGUUUUCCUGAGCUAAGGCAGUUCCCACGAGUGAACCUCCCUGAGCUGUAGAGACCUCGAACAAUGUGUGUUUCAGUUGGCCUACCUGACAAUGGAGAGGGCUAACACACAUCGGACAGGAUGAGUGUGGAAAAUAAUUCAUUCUCACGUUAAUCACUGGAUUUCCGAGUUUGCACUUGCAACCCCUAAUGUUCAAUGCCUUUACUAAUGUAGAUAUUGGAAAUUGAAGUUAGAUGCUACUGUAUCAAAAACAUAAAAUAUAUGCUAUUGGGUCAGUUUCAGAUGUGAAUGGCGAGGUGACUGGUAUUAGAGGAAGAAAAUGUAGUGGUUGGGUCAGGCUAACCCAAAGCAUAAAAGGACAUUGCCACCUGUGAUCAGAAGGGAGGUUAGCCACAUGCUUAUUGUUUUGCAAUUUAGAAAAAGAGCUUGGAAAGAAGUGUGUUUUCUGAAUUGGCUACUAUUGGUGGUAGUUGGCAAGAUGCUGUAGAGGUGAAUUGAGCGGGGAAAAAGUUACCAGCUAGCAAUUAGAAAUCAAAAGGGGCCAGGCGCGGUGGCUCACGCCUGUAAUCCCAGCACUUUGGGAGGCUGAGGUGGGCGGAUCACAAGGUCAGGAGAUCGAGACCAUCCUGGCUAACACGGUGAAACCCUGUCUCUACUAAAAAUACAAAAAAAAAAAAAAAAAAAAAAAUUAGCCAGGCGUGGUGGCGGGUGCCUGUAGUCCCAGCUACUCAGGAGGCUGAGGCAGGAGAAUGGCGUGAACCCAGGAGGCGGAGCUUGCAGUGAGCCGAGAUCGCGCCACUGCACUCCAGCCUGGGCAACAGAGCAAGACUCUGUCUCGAAAAACAAAACAAACAAACGACAAACAAAAACAAAAACAAACAAAAAAAGAAAUUAAAAGGAAUAGGUGAUAUUCAGAAAUUCAGAGAGUAGCCAGGCACAGUGCUCAUGCCUGUAAUACCAGCACUUUAGGAGGCUGCAGCAGAAGGAUCACUUGAGCCUGGGAGGUCCAGGCUACAUUAAGCCAUGAUUGCACCACUGCACUCCAGCCUGGGUAACAGAGCAAGACCCUGUCUAAAAAAAAAAAUAAACAGAAGUAGAAAUUCAGGGACUGGAUAGUUUGGAAAAUCAAGCAAGGCAAACAAAAUACAGGCAUGCCUAAAUAAGUGAAAUAAGCCAGGCACAGAAAGACAAACAUUGCGUCUUCUCACUUAUUUGUGGGAUCUAAAAAUCAAAACAACUGAACAUAUGUCUCAGGGACAUAGAGAAUAGAAGAAUGAUUACCAGAAGCUGGGAAGGGUAGUGAGGGGCUGGGUGAGAGGUGGGGAUGUUAACAGGUAGAAAAAAUAAUAAUUAGAAAGAAUGAAUAAGACCUACCAUUUGAUAGCACAAUAGGGUGACUAUAGUUAAUAAUUUUACAUUUUAAAAUAACUUUAAAAAUGUGAUUGGAUCAUUUGUAACUCAAAGGAUAAAUGCUUGAGGGGAUGGCUACCCCAUUCCCCAUGAUGUGCUUAUUUCGUAUUGCAUGCCUUUAUCAAAAUGUCUCAUGUACCCCAUAAAUAUAUAUACCUACUGUGUACCCACAACUAUUUAAAAAAUAAAAAAUAAAAACAUUUAAAAUAAAAAAAAAAAGACAUUGCAGUCUGGUUGCAGUUCCAGAUACCCACAAAAAAAGCAAAUAGUGCAAUAAAAAAAAUCACAUGAAUUUUUAGUUUUUUCAGUGCAUAUAAAAGUUACUAUAGUCUACUAAGUGUGCAACAGCGUUAUGUCUAAAAUAAUAAUGUACGUAUCUUAAUUUAAAAAUACUUUACUGCUAAAAAUGCUAACAAUCAUCUGAUCCUUCAGCGAGACAUAAUCUGUUUGCUGGUGAAAGGUCUUAUUUCAAUGUUGAUGGCUGCUGACGUCAGCGUGGUGGUUACUAAAGUUGGGGUGACUGUGGCAAUGUCUUAAAAUAAGACAACACUGAAGUUUGCUGCAUCAAUUCACUCUUCCUUUAAUAAAAUAUUUCUUUGUAGCAUGCAAUGCUGUUUGAUAGAAUUUUGCUUACAGGAGAACUUCUUUCAAAAUUGGAGUCAAUCCUUUCAGAUCCUGCCAUUGCUUUAUCAAGUAAGUUUAUAUAAUAUUCGUAAUCUUUUUUGUCAUUUCAACAAUCUUCACGGCAUCUUCACCAGGAGUAGAUUCCAUCUCAAGAAAACAUUUUUUUUCUUGCCUAUAAGUAGUGACUCCUCAUUUGUGAAAGUUUUAUCAUGAGAUGGUAUCAGUUCAGUCACAUCUUCAGGCUCCACUUUUAAUUCCAGUUCUCUUAAUAUUUUCAACACCUCUGCAGUUCCUUCUUCCACUGAAGUCUUGAACCCAUCAAAAUAAUCCAUGAGGAUUGAAAUCAACUUCUCCCAAAUUCCUGCUAAUAUUUUGGCCUCCUUUAAUGAAUCACGGAUAUUCUUAAUGGCAUCUAGAAUGGUGAUCCUUUCCAGACAGUUUUCAAUUAUUUUGCACAGGUCCACCAGAGGAAUAAUUCUCUAUAGCAGAUAUAGCCUCAUGAAACAUAUUUCUUAAAUAAUAAGACUCAAAAAUUGAAAUUGCAUCUUGAUCCUUGGGCUGCAGAAUGGAUGUUGUAUUAGCAGGCAGGAAACAACAUUAAUCUUCUUGCACACCUCCACCAGAGCUCUUGGGUGACUAGGUGGACUCUCAGUGAGCAAUAAUAAUUUGAAGGAAAUCUUUC
Molecule: long non-coding RNA, 2893 nt
Filed under: Homo sapiens (human)
Lineage: Eukaryota; Metazoa; Chordata; Mammalia; Primates; Hominidae
Source: RNAcentral